AGCCCAGAGUGGAGCUCCCACAGUGCAGCGGCAGGCUGAAGGGCUCCUCAAGCGCGGCCAGAGUGGGCGCGGAGGUCGAGGAGGCGCCAAGAGCGAGCGAGGGCUGCCAGCACGCUGUCACCUCUCACUAUGAACAAUUGGCAGGACAGUCAUGGUCUGGACCUAAGGAAGGUUUGCUCAGGGCUGACCUACCCACGAGCAGCUGCUCCUGGCAGUCUGAGCGCCUUUCAUAUUUCCUGUAUUAACCUUGUGGCGCACAAAGACAGCAUCGAGAACAAGCUAAUGAGAAUCAUCCCUCUCAUCAUGGAACCCGCAUCCCCUGCCUCAAACCAAGCCAUGUGCACACGCACACUUGAUGAUAGCAGAAUCGAGGCAUCUGUUUUUUUUUUUUAGUUUGUAAUACAAUUUUACUCUUCAGAAUAUACUAAAGAUAAUAUUUACAUAUGCGCUGUAUGUCACAUAAUAUUCUAUUUUCUCCUGUUCACUUUAUUGAGGUAUAACUGACAAAAAUUUUAUGUAUUUAUGAUGUUAAAUGUGAUGUUUUGACAUAUGUAUACAUUGUGAAAUGAUUACAUCAAGCUAUCUUUCUUGUGGUGAAAACAUUUAAGAUCUACUUUUUUUUUUUUAGCAACUUUCAAGUACACAGUACAUAUUUUAUUUUAUUUUUUAUUUUUGAGACAGAGUCUCACUCUUUCGCCCAGGCCAGACUGCAGUAGCGCUAUCUCGGCUCACUGCAAGCUCCGCCUCCCGGGUUCACACCAUUCUCCUGCCUCAGCCCCCGGAGUAGCUGGGACUACAGGCGCCCGCCACCACGCCUGGCUAAUUUUUUGUAUUUUUAGUGGAGACCGGGUUUCACUGUGUUAGCCAAGAUGGUCUUGAUCUCCUGACCUCGUGAUCCGCCCACCUCGGCCUCGCAAAGUGCUGGGAUUACAGGCGUGAGCCACCGCGCCCAGCCUA
This 957-nucleotide long non-coding RNA is filed under the name Homo sapiens (human). RNAcentral describes it as "non-protein coding lnc-LMNB1-1:1". The record is from RNAcentral. Lineage: Eukaryota; Metazoa; Chordata; Mammalia; Primates; Hominidae.